CGCCUCGAUCGUGGGAUCCAGCACGCGCCGUCUCGGCGUGCUUCGGCACCUGCGUGCUCCGGACGUCGGCCUGCAGGCUCCCCAUUCGGCCCGUCUUGAAACACGGACCAAGGAGUCUGACAUGUGUAUGAGUCAACGAGCUAGAAAACCCGUAAGACGUAAGGAAGCUGAUUGGCGGGAUCCCUCACGGGUGCACCGCCGACCGACAUUGAUCUUUUGAGAAGGGUUGGAGUGAGAGC
This 239-nucleotide non-coding RNA is filed under the name Gossypium arboreum. Its description in RNAcentral is "Eukaryotic large subunit ribosomal RNA". It matches the Rfam family "Eukaryotic large subunit ribosomal RNA", at positions 560 to 801 of the family's 3401-position model. The record is from Rfam by way of RNAcentral. Lineage: Eukaryota; Viridiplantae; Streptophyta; Magnoliopsida; Malvales; Malvaceae.